Molecule: long non-coding RNA, 1538 nt
Filed under: Vigna radiata
Lineage: Eukaryota; Viridiplantae; Streptophyta; Magnoliopsida; Fabales; Fabaceae
Description: long non-coding RNA (VRAD_LNC011975)
Source: RNAcentral
CUUGACCUAUCUACUACAAGAUGGUGGGUUAAAUAGAUUGGUUCACUUGACUCACUUAAUUACAACUUUUAUAAAAUAAAAAAAAUUACAAAUUUGUUGUAAUUCAAAUCUAAAUAAAAUUCACUCCCAAAAUGAUGUUAAACUCAAGACAAUUCAAAAUAAUAAAGAAAGUACAAAAUAAUCUUUCUUGGUAUAAGUGAUGGUGAGUGAGGAGAGUAUUUUUUAGGAUUUCAAGAUAAUAAAUUAAUAAAAUAAAAUUAACUGGGUUGGUGAGCCAACCCGACUCAUCACAGGUUCAACCCGGAUAUGUCGGGUUUAAAUGAGCCGGAUUGAAAAUUGACCCGCAUAAAAAAAUACAUUUUUCUCAAACUCAACCCGACCCGAACUCGUGGUGGGCCGGAUUGACUCGCAGGUUGUAACUCAUUUUAGAAUUGAUUACCUAAUUCUAAUAAUAUCACAAUAAAAAGACACUCCUGUUUGAAAGCUAUUUUAAUAUAUUUUUUAGGUUUAAACCUUUAGUUGUCCUUAUUUUCGUUGGAUUUUUCCAUUUUGAUCACAUUCUUUUAAAGUUCCCCAAUUGAGUCCUUAUAAAUGCUAAUUUGAAGCAAUUGAGCCCUUGCCGUUAAAUUUAGUUAACAAAGUUAAUUUUCUGCAUAGGUGGUGGGAUGACGUGUCUAGUUACUUAAACGUGGCAUAUUUAGAAGUGAAACUUGGCAUUUUCGCAACUUCUUAAAAUUGAAUAAUAUGUAAUUUCACUAUUAUCGUUACUGUUCUUUCUCUCCCAUCGCUCUUUCCAAAAACCUGAUUCUUUCAUCAUUCGUCGGAUCCGAAGAGAACUCUCUACGAUUCCGAUCUCACGAAAUAGAUCCGAUAGAGUGAAACUUCAAAUUUAGUUUUAGCACAGUUGUCGCACCCUAAAUCUCGAGAGAUUUCGAAGGACCCAAAUAUAAACCCUAAUUAAUCACUUUGCCGUAAAACUUUUUAGCCAUUUAGAUCGUGCGAUUCGUGGUGGUUUGUUUGUUGUUUGUCUCUGCUUUCUAUGGUUUUCAGAUCGUUGUUGGAUUGUCAGAAAUUAGGAAAUUGGAGAAGAUGGGUAAGGAGGUGGAGGAUGUGGAAGAGGGCGAGAUUUUAGAUACUGCUUCGGUGGAAGAGAUUUCAGAAACGAAUACGACACUGGAAGAAACGCCAGAGAAGUGGUAUAAAUGAAGAAACAUUUAGAAAGUAAUAAAACAAUACUCACAACAUGUAUAGACUAAAGAACAAAGAGUUUACCAUCAGGGCAAGUGUUGAUGUCCACACUUGAUGCAAGGUUUCUAGCAUGACCCGCACAUGUUGAUAUCAAAGACAUAUUUGACUUAGGGCUGGGCAAACUGAUCUGUACUGUACUGUAGUUAACUGUACUAUAUUGUACUAAAAAUAACUGAUCCAUUUCUAAUAACAGUGCAGUAUACUAUCUUAUGGUUCAGUUUUUAAAAACUGAACUUAUAACAGUUACAGUUCAGUUAACUGUGAGAACUGUAUCUACUCUUACAUCUUCU